CGCCCUUAUUGGGUGGGGGAACACAUAUGGAAUUCAUUGCUGGCACAUUGGAAUUUUCCAUAGUACCGCAUUAAAUGUGCUACCGCCCAGAAAAAUAGGGCUUCAGAAAAAGGUGGUGUAUUGCAUACCGGAGGAUCAAUCACUACACAUGAACAUGCAAUUCGUAUGGCAGCAGAGCUUGGACGGGCUGUUCAUGUUGAUGAGGUGCUUACACAAACUCAUCUUCGCAAGGGGACUGACGAAUAUGUUGAUGAGAGGUCUCGCAAGACCACUGAAGAUUUUUCUGCGAGAUUGACACAAGCGAGAUCAAAGGGGGAAUCUGCUCCUGAUGCUAACUCUAGAGUAGAUGCAGACGAAGAAAUCAUCAGGACCCAAUGCUAGGUUGAUGUCGUCGGGGGCAAGAAGAAAGGACGACUGUAUGGGGUAGGACAACUUGCCUCCUAUUACAGUGCUGGAAGAGGAGGCAUAUUGAGACAUCAACCAUCUACCUCCGGCACAUUUGACCACAACAAUGUCGUUAGUAAAGAGGCUUAUGAUUCACUUCUAGCCAUAUUUGACAAUAUUGAAAAUUUGGUCAAGACAUUGAUACCUCAGCAGGGACAGUCUGCCCAUCAUCAUCCCAGCAGCCAUGCCCACCUCAA
Long non-coding RNA from Vigna angularis (adzuki bean), 641 nucleotides. RefSeq lists it as uncharacterized. Lineage: Eukaryota; Viridiplantae; Streptophyta; Magnoliopsida; Fabales; Fabaceae. The record is from RefSeq and is a predicted model, not a curated record. The transcript has 3 exons.